Molecule: non-coding RNA, 187 nt
Filed under: Paracoccus saliphilus
Lineage: Bacteria; Pseudomonadati; Pseudomonadota; Alphaproteobacteria; Rhodobacterales; Paracoccaceae
Source: RNAcentral
UCUACAGUCCACCCGUCUGGUGCCAUGGCCUUUCCGGGGCCUGGAGAAUCGGGAACGCGGUGCAAUUCCGCGACGUGCCCAACGCUGUGAGGCGGAUGGCGCAGCAAAGGCCACUGACCCUUCGGUUGGGAAGGCGCUGCGCCGCGUGAAGCCGAGUCAGAAGACCGGCCAGGCAGGAUGGAUCUUU